Cyprinus carpio (common carp) is the source of this 454-nucleotide non-coding RNA. The record is from the annotation of a RefSeq genome assembly. NCBI's taxonomy places the organism in Eukaryota, Metazoa, Chordata, Actinopteri, Cypriniformes, Cyprinidae.
UUAUUACAAAGAGCUGACACCAUGAACACUUUCCUUAUCAGAUCUGCAUGUCUGCUGUGGCUAACAGUGGCAAAUCAUGCAAAAACUGUUCUCCAGAGUCCUGAUGACUUCAUAAAGAACCAAAAUGAAUCGGCUGUUAUCGGCUGUUCUCACAGUAUACAGAGCUACAACCAAAUGCUGUGGUACAAACAGAGUCAGGACAUGCCUGGAUUCAAGUUUAUGGGAUACCUUUAUGUUGAUGAGAAUAUAGAGCCUGAAUUUACAGACAAGAUCAAAUUGAAGGGAGAUGCAUCAAAAAAUGGCACUCUGACUAUCAAGAACCUCACACCACAAGACAGCGCAGUGUAUUUCUGUGCAGCAUAUUACACACUGAUAUAGAUAAUGAAACCUUAAUACAAAAAGCUCUCUAGUCUGUGCCUCUGCAUCAGCUCUGCCUCACCUGCAAAGGGCUCAG